RNAcentral lists this ribosomal RNA (401 nucleotides) under uncultured bacterium. RNAcentral describes it as "bacterial SSU rRNA". It matches the Rfam family "Bacterial small subunit ribosomal RNA", at positions 355 to 772 of the family's 1533-position model. The record is from RNAcentral.
UGGGGAAUCUUGGACAAUGGGGGCAACCCUGAUCCAGCCAUGCCGCGUGAGUGAUGAAGGCCUUAGGGUCGUAAAGCUCUUUCGCCUGUGAAGAUGAUGACGGUAGCCGUAGAAGAAGCCCCGGCUAACUUCGUGCCAGCAGCCGCGGUAAUACGAAGGGGGCAAGCGUUGUUCGGAAUUACUGGGCGUAAAGGGCGUGUAGGCGGUCUAAUCAGUCAGUGGUGAAAGCCCUGGGCUCAACCCAGGAAUUGCCUUUGAUACUGUUAGACUAGAGUUCGGGUAGAGGAUAGUGGAAUUCCCAGUGUAGAGGUGAAAUUCGUAGAUAUUUGGAGGAACACCAGUGGCGAAGGCGGCUCACUGGCUCGAUACUGACGCUGAGGUGCGAAAGUGUGGGGAGCAAA